This 1299-nucleotide long non-coding RNA is filed under the name Homo sapiens (human). Its description in RNAcentral is "HSALNT0317926". Lineage: Eukaryota; Metazoa; Chordata; Mammalia; Primates; Hominidae. The record is from RNAcentral.
CAGAGGGAGACUCCGUCUAAAAACAAAACAAAACAAAACAAAACAAAACAAAACAAAACAAAACAAAACAUUGCCUUCUUCCAGAAUCUCUCUUGGAGGAGCUCCCUGAAGCUCUUUUAGAGUUAACUUUUUUUUUUUAAUAACUAGGCAUGCACUCUAAAAUACUGAUUAAAAAGUAUAGUACGGUAACAUAAACAAGUAACAUACGCGUUUAUUGUCACUGUCAAGUAUUAUGUUCUGUAUGUAAUUGUAUGUGCAAGACGUUUAUACAGCUGACAGUGCAGGGGGUGUGUGUAUACCAGCACCUCCGCAAAGUGAGGAGUGUGUUGUGUUCCGUCUACACGGUGGCUGCGAGGUCACCAGGCGACAGGAGGUUUCAGCUCCGUGACAGUCUUAUGGGGCCACCAUGGCAUGUGGUCCAUCGUUGACCCAAAUGCUGUUAUGCCGCGUGUGGCUGUAAAACGCACUUGCUGGUUCCCCACAGGGAGGAGGGGGUGGCUAAAACUGCCUUCCCUAUCCUGCAAGCCCAAGUCCCGCUGGAUACCUGGCCUGGGUGGGAGAUGACCCAGGAGAUGAAGCCCCAGUCCUGUGUCCGGCUGCAGAUGAGACUGGCGGCCACAAUGGAAGGGGCCUGGCACCUUUUGUUUAAAAGGCGCUCCAGGUGAUUCCCAUCCACAGCCAGCCUUGGGAAUUGAGAGUCCCCUGAUAAGUUGUUCUGGAGUGAUGUCCUGUGGGACUUUGGCAUUUUCCACUAGCAUCUAAUGAGGGGGUGUCCUUUCCGGAGAAGGCACCUAGGAAGGCCAGGGAGCUGCUGGUCUGUAUCCAGCUGCCCUUGGCCGAAGCUGGAGAAAGGAGAGGCAUGAGCUCAUGAAGUCCCCUUGACCUCUUCCCUCCAUAUUUGUGCGUGUGUUUGUCACACACCAACGCUAGGCAGCUUGUGUGGGACUUUUACACCUGUUGCUCACAGAAUGCAUCCAGAAGCCCUUUGAGGUGGAUGCUGUUAUAUCCCCAUUUUACCAGUGGUUAGAGGGUGUACAGAGGCUCUUCGUGGAGCCCAAGGUCACGCCCUUCAGUUCACUUGGUACAGUCAGCAUGUACUAAGUACCUCCUACUAUGUGCACACUGGACUCGACACCUUGAGGGCAGGGACCUCAGAGCCCCAGGCAGUGGGGAGGGGACAGGCUUUUUCUGGACAGCCACUCCCAGUGGCCCCAAGCUGAGGCAUAUCGUGAGGAGGGUGAAAAAGGCAGACGUGGCCCGAGAGGACACUAGGUUUCUACCUCUGCCUUUAAAAAAAAA